RNAcentral lists this ribosomal RNA (792 nucleotides) under uncultured bacterium. Its description in RNAcentral is "bacterial SSU rRNA". It matches the Rfam family "Bacterial small subunit ribosomal RNA", at positions 8 to 796 of the family's 1533-position model. The record is from RNAcentral.
AGAGUUUGAUCCUGGCUCAGAGCGAACGCUGGCGGCGUGCUUAACACAUGCAAGUCGAACGCGCAGUUUGGUGUAGCAAUACACUGGAUGGGCGCGUGGCGAACGGGUGCGUAACACGUGGAUAACCUUCCUUCUGGUGGGGAAUAACCCCGUGAAAACGGGGCUAAUACCGCAUAACAUUGCGAGGGCGCAUGCUCUUGCAUUCAAAGGCGCAAGUCGCCGGAAGAGGGAUCCGCGGCCGAUUAGCUAGUUGGCGAGGUAAUGGCUCACCAAGGCGAUGAUCGGUAGCCGGACUGAGAGGUUGGCCGGCCACACUGGAACUGAGACACGGUCCAGACUCCUACGGGAGGCAGCAGUGGGGAAUCUUGCGCAAUGGGCGAAAGCCUGACGCAGCAACGCCGCGUGGGGGAUGAAGCUUCUCGGAGUGUAAACCCUUUUCGACCGGGACGAAUGCCCGCAAGGGCUUGACGGUACCGGUAUAAGAAGCCCCGGCUAACUACGUGCCAGCAGCCGCGGUAAAACGUAGGGGGCCAGCGUUGCUCGGAAUUACUGGGCGUAAAGGGUCCGUAGGCGGUGUGACAAGUCGGUAGUGAAAUCUCUGGGCUUAACUCAGAGGCUGCUGCCGAAACUGUUGUGCUAGAGUGUGAGAGAGGCGAGUGGAAUUACGGGUGUAGCGGUGAAAUGCGUAGAUAUCCGUAGGAACAUCCGAGGCGAGAGCGGCUCGCUGGAUCACAACUGACGCUGAGGGACGAAAGCUAGGGGAGCAAACAGGAUUAGAUACCCCUGUAGUCC